AUGGCACCGCGGCGCACAGUAACUGGUAAGGAAGCGAUGGCAUCCCGCCACGCCGCGUUCCCCGACGCUCGUGACCGCACACAUGGUAAGGAAGCGAUGGCAUCUCGCCGCGCUGAGUUCAUCGCCGCCGGCAGCCAGACAGUUACAUGGGCGGACUUUGAGGCUGCCAUGGCCGAAUGGGUGGUGGAUCUAGAGGCGGCCAAAGUCGCACAGAAGGAGCGGAAAAGGCAGAAAGCAGUCAGGAAAAGAGAGUCCCGCCGCCGCAAGAAAAAAGACGCCGCACGCCGUGGUGAGGAGAGCUUGGCAGAGAUCGAAGCACGGUGGGCUGCCGCCUACAAGGCCGGGAAGGAGAACGCCGUCGUCUGGCCAGCAUACGCCGAUGGCAGCAUGUGA
This 393-nucleotide ribosomal RNA is filed under the name Triticum aestivum (bread wheat). Its description in RNAcentral is "partial small subunit ribosomal RNA". Lineage: Eukaryota; Viridiplantae; Streptophyta; Magnoliopsida; Poales; Poaceae. The record is from RNAcentral.